GCAAGCUGAAGCUCCCAGAGCAUCGGUCUUGUAAGCCGAAGGCCGAAUAUGGUACUAUUCCACUUGCU
Molecule: transfer RNA, 68 nt
Filed under: Pseudocleopatra dartevellei
Lineage: Eukaryota; Metazoa; Mollusca; Gastropoda; Paludomidae
Description: tRNA-Thr
Source: RNAcentral